RNAcentral lists this non-coding RNA (30 nucleotides) under Halococcus morrhuae DSM 1307. Lineage: Archaea; Methanobacteriati; Methanobacteriota; Halobacteria; Halobacteriales; Halococcaceae. The record is from RNAcentral.
GUUUCAGACGAACCCUCGUGGGGUCGAAAC